RNAcentral lists this ribosomal RNA (448 nucleotides) under uncultured bacterium. RNAcentral describes it as "SSU rRNA". It matches the Rfam family "Bacterial small subunit ribosomal RNA", at positions 26 to 518 of the family's 1533-position model. The record is from RNAcentral.
AGAACAAACGCUGGCGGCAGGCUUAACACAUGCAAGUCGAACGCGUGUAGCAAUACACGAGUGGCGCACGGGUGAGUAACGCGUGGAUAUCUGCCUUUUGGUUCGGAAUAACCCCGGGAAACUGGGGCUAAUACCGGAUGGUUCCUACGGGAUAAAGAUUUAUCGCCAAAAGAUGAGUCCGCGUCCGAUUAGCUAGUUGGUGGGGUAAUGGCCUACCAAGGCGACGAUCGGUAGCUGGUCUGAGAGGACGAUCAGCCACACUGGGACUGAGACACGGCCCAGACUCCUACGGGAGGCAGCAGUGGGGAAUAUUGGACAAUGGGGGCAACCCUGAUCCAGCCAUGCCGCGUGAGUGAUGAAGGCCUUCGGGUUGUAAAGCUCUUUUGGCGGGGACGAUGAUGACGGUACCCGCAGAAUAACGCCCGGCUAACUUCGUGCCAGCAGCCGC